GUACGGGAGGCAGCAGUGGGGAAUUUUGGACAAUGGGGGCAACCCUGAUCCAGCCAUUCCGCGUGAGUGAAGAAGGCCUUCGGGUUGUAAAGCUCUUUUGUCCGGAACGAAACGGCUACGCCUAAUACGCGUGGCUACUGACGGUACCGGAAGAAUAAGCACCGGCUAACUACGUGCCAGCAGCCGCGGUAAUACGUAGGGUGCGAGCGUUAAUCGGAAUUACUGGGCGUAAAGCGUGCGCAGGCGGUUUUGUAAGCCAGAUGUGAAAUCCCCGGGCUUAACCUGGGAAUGGCAUUUGGGACUGCAAGGCUGGAGUACGGCAGAGGGGACUGGAAUUCCUGGUGUAGCAGUGAAAUGCGUAGAGAUCAGGAGGAAUACCGAUGGCGAAGGCAGGUCCCUGGGCUGAUACUGACGCUCAUGCACGAAAGCGUGGGGAGCAAACAGGAUUAGAUACCCCGGUAGG
Molecule: ribosomal RNA, 463 nt
Filed under: uncultured bacterium
Lineage: Bacteria
Description: bacterial SSU rRNA
Rfam family: Bacterial small subunit ribosomal RNA
Source: RNAcentral